AGAUUGAACGCUGGCGGCAUGCCUAACACAUGCAAGUCGAACGGGAGUAGCAAUACUCUAGUGGCGGACGGGUGAGGAAUACGUAGGAAUUUGCCCUUAAGUGGGGGAUAACCCGGGGAAACCCGGAUUAAUACCGCAUGACCUCGAAAGAGCAAAGUGGGGGAUCGCAAGACCUCACGCUUUUGGAGAAGCCUACGUCGGAUUAGCUAGUUGGUGAGGUAAUGGCUCACCAAGGCGACGAUCCGUAACUGGUCUGAGAGGAUAGACACGUA
This 272-nucleotide ribosomal RNA is filed under the name uncultured soil bacterium. RNAcentral's name for it is "partial 16S ribosomal RNA". It matches the Rfam family "Bacterial small subunit ribosomal RNA", at positions 26 to 310 of the family's 1533-position model. The record is from RNAcentral.